GCCAUAGAAGCAGAUCACAUUUCCUUUGCUUGUAUCCUCCAAAACACCAAUUAUCUCUCCCGCGGAAUCAUCGACGUUUCUUGCUUCGAACUGGAUCUCGGUCUCCUGCAGUGUUCAACAAUAAUAACACCAAAUGAGGGAACACUAUAUUCAUGUACGUGCAAGAGCUCACAUCGGCACUAGCUUUUCUUCAAUCAACUCUUGGAGCAUGAGUGCAUGACAUAGGAACCGGCAAAAAGUUAAAUAUUCUAAAUUGGAAUGAACUCUUUGGAGAAUUUAAAAAGUGCAUGUAUAUGUUUGAAAAAUAGAUUAGCUUGAUCAACAUAGAUGGUGACGGCUAACCAACAGGACAAGUCAGCAUAGACGGUGAUGCAGCGAAGUAGUGGCAGAUGGAGAACAUGGGAAGAUGAUGAUUUGAAGCCAAGAAAGAGAGUUAAUUACAACAUUCAGGGCUAUGGAACCAAAUAAAACUGGGAGCAAUAGCAACGAUGAGCAUGGUUUGGACAAACCUACUGCCAGGGCGGGCAAGAUACCAGGUCAGGUUACAAGAAAAUCGUCGAGGAAUAAGGUGAAGCCCAGCAAAUAGUAAAAGUCAGGUUCACACCUCUCUGUGAUGCAGAUUGUUAGCAGCUCAAACAGAUAUGGCUAUGAUGCUCCUUUAUAAGUCUACAGGGAGUCAUCGAAUAGGAGGAAACAAAUGUCUUGGGUCUGUAGCCUCUUAAAUUAACAAGACUGCUGAUGCUUUUUGUUGUUCUGGAAGCUUGUUCUUAUUUUAUCAAAGAGCUCUUUUACGGUG
This is a long non-coding RNA of Brachypodium distachyon (stiff brome), 796 nucleotides long. RefSeq lists it as uncharacterized. NCBI's taxonomy places the organism in Eukaryota, Viridiplantae, Streptophyta, Magnoliopsida, Poales, Poaceae. The record is from RefSeq and is a predicted model, not a curated record. The transcript has 2 exons.